UUGGGGAUUUAGCUCAGUGGUAGAGUGCUUGCCUAGGAAGCGCAAGGCCCUGGGUUCGGUCCCCAGCUCAAAA
RNAcentral lists this transfer RNA (73 nucleotides) under Rattus norvegicus (Norway rat). RNAcentral's name for it is "tRNA-Pro-AGG-17-1". The record is from RNAcentral. Lineage: Eukaryota; Metazoa; Chordata; Mammalia; Rodentia; Muridae.